AGCAGCCGCGGUAAUUCCAGCUCCAAUAGCGUAUAUUAAAGUUGUUGCAGUUAAAAAGCUCGUAGUUGAAUUUCGGGAUUAAUAUGUUGGUCGUGCCUUGGUACGUACUGGCAUUAUUGAUUCCUACCUUCUGAAGAACCUCGAUGUCAUUAAUUUGGUGUCUUGGGGAAUCAGGACCGUUACUUUGAAAAAUUAGAGUGUUUAAAGCAGGCUCGCGCUUGAAUACAUUAGCAUGGAAUAAUGAAAUAGGACGUUUGAUUCUAUUUUGUUGGUUUCUAGGAUCGACGUAAUGAUUAAUAGGGAUAGUUGGGGGCAUUAGUAUUCAAUUGUCAGAGGUGAAAUUCUUGGAUUUAUUGAAGACUGACUACUGCGAAAGCAUUUGCCAAGGAUGUUUUCAUUAAUCAAGAACGAAAGUUAGGGGAUCGAAGACGAUCAGAUACCGUCGUAGUCUUAACCAUAAACUAUGCCGACUAGGGAUC
RNAcentral lists this ribosomal RNA (479 nucleotides) under uncultured Glomus. Its description in RNAcentral is "SSU rRNA". It matches the Rfam family "Eukaryotic small subunit ribosomal RNA", at positions 569 to 1054 of the family's 1831-position model. The record is from RNAcentral. Lineage: Eukaryota; Fungi; Glomeromycota; Glomeromycetes; Glomerales; Glomeraceae.